RNAcentral lists this long non-coding RNA (2686 nucleotides) under Sus scrofa (pig). RNAcentral's name for it is "lncRNA (ENSSSCG00030071757.1)". The record is from RNAcentral. Lineage: Eukaryota; Metazoa; Chordata; Mammalia; Artiodactyla; Suidae.
GUACCCCCUGUGCUUCAUUGCUUGCAUCUUGUCAUAAGUGGGAUCGUACAGCCUAUCACCUUUCGGAACUGUUUUGUUUUUCUCACGCAGCACAAUCCUCUGGAGAGUCAUGCAGUUGUCGUAUGUGUCAGGAGUUCAUUUCUUUUCAUUGCUGAGUAGAUUUCCUUCCCUAGUAUGUAUGUUGCACAGUUUAUCUGUUUACCAGCGGAAGGACAGGUGGGCUGAUUCCAGCUAUUGGCUUAUUACAAAUAGAUCUGAUAUGAACAUUAGCAUACAGAUUUGUGUGUGAAUAGAAGACUUCAUUUCCCUGGGGAACAUUGCUCAGGAAUGCAAUUUCUUGGUCAUGUGGUAGUGACAUGUUUAUGUGGGGGCCUUUAUCUUUGGGUAAUUCUUUGAGUUUAUCCUGUUUGGGGUUUACUCAGGUUCUUGCAUGUGUAAGUUUAUGUCUUUUGCCAAAUGUGGGUCAUUUUCAGCCAUUCUUUCUUUGAGAACUGUUUCAGCCUCACCUUCUGGGUCUCUGAUGACACAAUGGUAGAGCUUUUGUUAUAGCCCCACAGGUCCCACAGGAGACUAGUUUCUUAAGUCUUUUUUCUCUCUGUUGUUCAGAAUGGGUGAUUUCUAUUGUUGAAUCUUCCAGUUCACUGAUUCUUUUCUCUGUUCCCUCCAUUCUGCUGUUGAGCCCAUUCCCUGAGCUUUCAUUUGAGUUAUUAUAUUUUUCAGCUCUAGAAUUUCCAUUUGGUUCUUUUUUUUUUUUUUUUCCAUAUGGCUGCACCAAUGGCAUAUGGAAGUUCCCAGCCCAGGGAUUGAAUGAGACACAGCUGCAACCUAUGCCACAGCUGCAGCAAUGUCAGAUCUUUCUAACCCACUGCACCAGGCUGGGGAUCAAACCCAUACCUCUGCAAGUGACUCAGGAGACUAAGUCAGAUUCUUAACCCCCUGUGGCAUGGUCGGAUGCCCAUUUAGUUCUUCUUUAGAUCUUCUAUUUCUUUGCUAAAGCUUUCUGGUUUUUUCAGUUACUUCAAGCAUAUGCAUAAUUUUUGUUAGGGCAUUUUUAUUAUGGCUGCUUUAAAAUAGUUUUCAGGUUAUCCUGACAUCUCUGUCCUUUAGACGGUAGCAGCUACGGAUGGUCUUUUUUCAUUCAGUUUGAGAUCUUCUCUGUUCUUGGUAUGAAGAGUGAUUUUGAAUGACAUGAACAUUUAAAAAUUAUUUUAUGGGACUCUGGAUCUUAUUUAUUUAUGUAUUGCUUGACGUGGGAUCCCAAGUCCCAGACCGGGGGAUCCAGUUGGGAUGCAGCAGUGAAUGCGCUGAAUCCUAGCCACUAGACCACCAGGGAACUCCCUAUGGAUGUUAUUUAAGCCUUCUGUGUCAGCUGGCUUUUCCUGCCACUGCUCUGGCAGGAAAAGGGGAGGUGCUGCCCCUUUCCUGGCAGGUGGAGGUAGAAGUUCAAGUUUCCUCUUCAGCCUCUGUUGACGACUGAGGGCUGAGGGUGGGAGUUCCACUGCCUCACGUGGUCUCCACUGCCACCUCAGCGAUGAUGGCCUGAUUGCUGCAGAAGUGAGUGGAAUUCUGACUCUCAAGGACACCACCCCAGCAGGGAGGGGGAGGGAGGCCGAAUUCCUGCCAAUCUGGCUGGAAGUCAGGUUUCCACGUGGUAUCCUGGAGUGGACCCUGCGUGUGGGAGGCCUCAUUACCAGCUGGCUGGGGUGAAAGUCCCCACUCCCUACCUGGCCCUCUCCGCAACCACCCUGGCAGGGAUGUUGAGUGCCUGUGAUUGGCCUGGGGAGAGUGGAAAGCUAGGCUCACCACUUAGCCUUCGCUGGUGUGGGUGUGGGUGGGGCCACAGCUUUUGUGUAAUAUUUGGCUGGAAUCGAGUGGUUCUUUCUGAAGUUUUCUGCCUUGUCAGGCUGCCCCUUUCCUGGGGAGAAAGGCAGGCCUUCGUUGGGGCUGGGUCUGCAGUGUCUCCAGGUUGCGGCCUUCCUUACCUCCAAGCCUGGGACACUCAGGGCAAAAAGAAAAGCCAGGGAAGCCCAUUGCUGUGCUGUUUGUUCCUUGGGUCCUGAGGUCCCUGGCCAUUCUGCCUUCUCUUCACUUUCCUCUUCUUAACAUUUCUUUGUCUGUGGUUUCCAGGGCUUUAGUUGCUGUAUUUAGCAGGAGGAAUAGGAAAAAGCACAUCGACUCUGUUUUCCCAGGAGCAGAGAUCUCUCAGAAAAGGAGGAUUUACGGGAAAGCUACCGAGGUACGUCAUUCAGUCAAAGGAAUGGUUGGGCAGCCGGCCUGCAGGAGGAGACAGGCACAGCUGGGCCUCAGGAAUUUCUGGAACUGGCGCCGGGGUGCUGGAGGCCCUUGCUUGUCUCGACUCGUCCUCCUCGUGUGCAUCAGUCGCAUUCUCUCUCUCUCUCCACGUGAAAUUCGAGGAAUGAAUGCGGCCACCUCAUGCAUCAAAAUUUCACAUCUCGUGGCUCCUCCAGCAGAAGGAGCCAGACUUCCUGAGCUCCUGUUUGACAAAACGCUCCGGAAGAUCUUCCUUUGGCCCGGCUUGGGCCAGGUGUGCUCCUGGACCCACUGAAUCCGGUCGGGUUGGGGAGUGUCUCUAAGGACCUGGCAGCUUCUGGGGGGUCACAAGGAUGCAGAGGAAUGCCUCUCGGCAAAAGGGAGGGUGCUGGAAAGAUAACACGUUGGUUUAUUC